GAAUGCUUAGUACGGCGAGUGAGCGGCAAAGCUCAAUUUGAAUCUGGUACCUUUGGUGCCCGAGUUGUAAUUUGGAGAGUACCACUUUGGGACUGUACUUUGCCUAUGUUCCUUGGAACAGGACGUCAUGGAGGGUGAGAAUCCCGUGUGGCGAGGGUGUCAGUUCUUUGUAAAGGGUGCUCGAAGAGUCGAGUUGUUUGGGAAUGCAGCUCUAAGUGGGUGGUAAAUUCCAUCUAAAGCUAAAAUACAGGCGGAGAGACCGAUAGGCGAACAAAGUACAAGUGAUGGAAAGAUGGAAAAGAACUUUGAAAAGAGAAAGUGGAAAAAGUACGGUGAAUUGGUGAAAAGGGAAGGGCAAUUGAACCAAACUGGGUGUUUGCCCCCUCUUGCCUCCCUGGGGCUGGGGACUCCCCCGCCUACGGGCCCAAUCCGGUUUGGGGGCGGAAAAACCAUGGGAAGGGGCCUGGCCCCCGGGUAAAGUGAUACCCCGGGGAAAACCCCACCCAACAAAAAACCAAAACUUUUUCCGGGGGGGGAAAAGG
RNAcentral lists this ribosomal RNA (542 nucleotides) under Nakaseomyces glabratus. RNAcentral's name for it is "[Candida] glabrata partial 26S ribosomal RNA". It matches the Rfam family "Eukaryotic large subunit ribosomal RNA", at positions 72 to 524 of the family's 3401-position model. Lineage: Eukaryota; Fungi; Ascomycota; Saccharomycetes; Saccharomycetales; Saccharomycetaceae. The record is from RNAcentral.